Molecule: transfer RNA, 72 nt
Filed under: Erysipelotrichia bacterium
Lineage: Bacteria; Bacillati; Bacillota; Erysipelotrichia
Description: tRNA-Ala
Rfam family: tRNA
About the family: Transfer RNA (tRNA) molecules are approximately 80 nucleotides in length. Their secondary structure includes four short double-helical elements and three loops (D, anti-codon, and T loops). Further hydrogen bonds mediate the characteristic L-shaped molecular structure. tRNAs have two regions of fundamental functional importance: the anti-codon, which is responsible for specific mRNA codon recognition, and the 3' end, to which the tRNAs corresponding amino acid is attached (by aminoacyl-tRNA synthetases). tRNAs cope with the degeneracy of the genetic code in two manners: having more than one tRNA (with a specific anti-codon) for a particular amino acid; and 'wobble' base-pairing, i.e. permitting non-standard base-pairing at the 3rd anti-codon position.
Source: RNAcentral
GGGUCCGUAGCUCACUUGGGAGAGCGCCUGAUUUGCAUUCAGGAGGCAGCGAGUUCGAUUCUCGCCGGAUCC